AGUGAACGCUGGCGGUAGGCCUAACACAUGCAAGUCGAACGGCAGCACAGGAGAGCUUGCUCUCUGGGUGGCGAGUGGCGGACGGGUGAGGAAUACAUCGGAAUCUACUCUGUCGUGGGGGAUAACGUAGGGAAACUUACGCUAAUACCGCAUACGACCUACGGGUGAAAGCAGGGGACCUUCGGGCCUUGCGCGAUUGCAUGAGCCGAUGUGGGAUUAGCUAGGUGGCGGGGUAAAGGCCCACCAAGGCGACGAUCCGUAGCUGGUCUGAGAGGAUGAUCAGCCACACUGGAACUGAGACACGGUCCAGACUCCUACGGGAGGCAGCAGUGGGGAAUAUUGGACAAUGGGCGCAAGCCUGAUCCAGCCAUACCGCGUGGGUGAAGAAGGCCUUCGGGUUGUAAAGCCCUUUUGUUGGGAAAGAAAUCCAGCUGGCUAAUACCCGGUUGGGAUGACGGUACCCAAAGAAUAAGCACCGGCUAACUUCGUGCCAGCAGCCGCGGUAA
RNAcentral lists this ribosomal RNA (506 nucleotides) under uncultured bacterium. Its description in RNAcentral is "partial 16S ribosomal RNA". It matches the Rfam family "Bacterial small subunit ribosomal RNA", at positions 29 to 523 of the family's 1533-position model. The record is from RNAcentral.